UAUAUUUUGGUGUAUGUCGCACUUUGAAUUUUGAUUUCAAAAGAUUUAGUUUAAUUCUAAAAAAUAUAA
This 69-nucleotide transfer RNA is filed under the name Micronecta sahlbergii. RNAcentral's name for it is "tRNA-Gln". Lineage: Eukaryota; Metazoa; Arthropoda; Insecta; Hemiptera; Micronectidae. The record is from RNAcentral.